RNAcentral lists this ribosomal RNA (301 nucleotides) under uncultured bacterium. Its description in RNAcentral is "partial 16S ribosomal RNA". It matches the Rfam family "Bacterial small subunit ribosomal RNA", at positions 509 to 807 of the family's 1533-position model. The record is from RNAcentral.
CAGUCGCCGCGGUAAAACGGAGGAUGCAAGCGUUAUCCGGAAUGAUUGGGCAUAAAGUGUCUGUAGGUGGCUUUUCAAGUCCGCCGUCAAAUCCCAGGGCUCAACCGUGGACAGGCGGUGGAAACUACCAAGCUGGAGUAUGGUAGGGGCAGAGGGAAUUUCCGGUGGAGCGGUGAAAUGCGUUGAGAUCGGAAAGAACACCAACAGCGAAAUCACUCUGCUAGGCCGACACUGACACUGAGAGACGAAAUCUAGGGGAGCAAAUGGGAUUAGAGACCCCCGUAGUCCCUGUCUCUUAUAC